CACACUGGAGCAGUUCAUGAAGAGCUGCAGCCCAUGGGAAGGACUCACAUCAGAGAAGGUUCAUGGAGGACUAUCUCCUGUGGAAGGGACCCCACGAUGGAGCAGGGGAAGAGCAUGAGGAGUCCUCCCCCUGAGGAAGGAGUUGCAGACACAACAGGUGAUAACUGACUGCAACCCCAAUUCCCAGCAUCCCUGUGCCACUGGGGGUGGAGGAGGUAGAGAAAUCAGGAG
This is a long non-coding RNA of Athene cunicularia (burrowing owl), 231 nucleotides long. RefSeq lists it as uncharacterized. The transcript is spliced from 3 exons. NCBI's taxonomy places the organism in Eukaryota, Metazoa, Chordata, Aves, Strigiformes, Strigidae. The record is from RefSeq and is a predicted model, not a curated record.